GACGAACGCUGGCGGCGUGCCUAAUACAUGCAAGUCGAACGCUUCUUUCCUCCCGAGUGCUUGCACUCAAUUGGAAAGAGGAGUGGCGGACGGGUGAGUAACACGUGGGUAACCUACCCAUCAGAGGGGGAUAACACUUGGAAACAGGUGCUAAUACCGCAUAACAGUUUAUGCCGCAUGGCAUAAGAGUGAAAGGCGCUUUCGGGUGUCGCUGAUGGAUGGACCCGCGGUGCAUUAGCUAGUUGGUGAGGUAACGGCUCACCAAGGCAACGAUGCAUAGCCGACCUGAGCGGGUGAUCGGCCACACUGGGACUGAGACACGGCCCAGACUCCUACGGUAGGCAGCAGUAGGGAAUCUUCGGCAAUGGACGGAAGUCUGACCGAGCAACGCCGCGUGAGUGAAGAAGGUUUUCGGAUCGUAAAACUCUGUUGUUAGAGAAGAACAAGGACGUUAGUAACUGAACGUCCCCUGACGGUAUCUAACCAGAGAGCCACGGCUAACUACGUGCCAGCCGCCGCCGUAA
This 524-nucleotide ribosomal RNA is filed under the name uncultured bacterium. RNAcentral describes it as "partial 16S ribosomal RNA". It matches the Rfam family "Bacterial small subunit ribosomal RNA", at positions 28 to 523 of the family's 1533-position model. The record is from RNAcentral.